This 423-nucleotide ribosomal RNA is filed under the name uncultured bacterium. RNAcentral's name for it is "bacterial SSU rRNA". It matches the Rfam family "Bacterial small subunit ribosomal RNA", at positions 359 to 776 of the family's 1533-position model. The record is from RNAcentral.
GAAUUUUGGGCAAUGGGCGAAAGCCUGACCCAGCAACGCCGCGUGAAGGAUGAAAUCCCUCGGGAUGUAAACUUCGCAAGAACGGGAAGAAUAAGUCUGCGUUAAUAUCGCAGGCGAUGACGGUACUGUUUGUAAGCUCCGGCUAACUCCGUGCCAGCAGCCGCGGUAAUACGGGGGGAGCAAGCGUUGUUCGGAUUUACUGGGCGUAAAGGGCGCGUAGGCGGCCACUGCAAGUCAAUUGUGAAAUCUCCGGGCUUAACUCGGAAAGGUCAACUGAUACUGCAGGGCUAGAGUGCGGAAGGGGCAACUGGAAUUCUCGGUGUAGCGGUGAAAUGCGUAGAUAUCGAGAGGAACACCUGCGGCGAAGGCGGGUUGCUGGGCCGACACUGACGCUGAGGCGCGAAAGCUAGGGGAGCGAACGGG